AACGCGAAGAACCUUACCUGGGUUUGACAUGCACUAGACGCGUUCAGAGAUGGGCGUUCCCUUGUGGCUGGUGUGCAGGUGGUGCAUGGCUGUCGUCAGCUCGUGUCGUGAGAUGUUGGGUUAAGUCCCGCAACGAGCGCAACCCUCGUUCCAUGUUGCCAGCGCGUAGUGGCGGGGACUCAUGGGAGACUGCCGGGGUCAACUCGGAGGAAGGUGGGGAUGACGUCAAGUCAUCAUGCCCCUUAUGUCCAGGGCUUCACACAUGCUACAAUGGCCUAUACAGAGGGCUGCGAGACCGUGAGGUGGAGCGAAUCCCUUAAAGUAGGUCUCAGUUCGGAUCGGGGUCUGCAACUCGACCCCGUGAAGUUGGAGUCGCUAGUAAUCGCAGAUCAGCAACGCUGCGGUGAAUACGUUCCCGGGUCUUGUACACACCG
Molecule: ribosomal RNA, 434 nt
Filed under: uncultured bacterium
Lineage: Bacteria
Also listed under: 1 other name
Description: bacterial SSU rRNA
Rfam family: Bacterial small subunit ribosomal RNA
Source: RNAcentral